CCUACGGGAGGCAGCAGUGGGGAAUAUUGGGCAAUGGAGGCAACUCUUACCCAGCAAUGCCGCGUGAAUGAAGAAGGUCUUCGGAUUGUAAAGUUCUUUAAUUGGGGACGAAAAAAAUGACGGUACCCAAGGAAUAAGCCCCGGCUAACUACGUGCCAGCAGCCGCGGUAAUACGUAGGGGGCAAGCGUUGUUCGGAAUGACUGGGCGUAAAGGGUGUGUAGGCGGGGUAGCAAGAUAGAAGUGAAAUACCGAGAGCUGAAACCAGGUGGUGCUUCUGAAACUGCUAUACUUGAGUGCAGGAGAGGAAAGUGGAAUUCGUAGUGUAGCGGUGGAAUGCAUAGAUAUUAGGAAGAACAUCAGUGGCGAAGGCGACUUUCCGGACUGUAACUGACGCUGAGGCACGAAAGUGUGGGGAGCAAACAGGAUUAGAUACCCUUGUAGUC
RNAcentral lists this ribosomal RNA (444 nucleotides) under uncultured bacterium. Its description in RNAcentral is "partial 16S ribosomal RNA". It matches the Rfam family "Bacterial small subunit ribosomal RNA", at positions 338 to 795 of the family's 1533-position model. The record is from RNAcentral.